AGGGAAUCUUCCACAAUGGACGCAAGUCUGAUGGAGCAACGCCGCGUGAGUGAAGAAGGCUUUCGGGUCGUAAAACUCUGUUAUUGAAGAAGAACGUGUGUGACAGUAACUGGUCAUGCAGUGACGGUAUUCAAUCAGAAAGUCACGGCUAACUACGUGCCAGCAGCCGCGGUAAUACGUAGGUGGCAAGCGUUGUCCGGAUUUAUUGGGCGUAAAGCGAGUGCAGGCGGUCUUUUAAGUCUGAUGUGAAAGCCUUCGGCUUAACCGAAGAAGGGCAUCGGAAACUGGGAGACUUGAGUG
This 300-nucleotide ribosomal RNA is filed under the name uncultured bacterium. RNAcentral describes it as "partial 16S ribosomal RNA". It matches the Rfam family "Bacterial small subunit ribosomal RNA", at positions 356 to 648 of the family's 1533-position model. The record is from RNAcentral.